UCUCGUUUAGAUUGAAGGAGCUUGCUCCUGAUUGAUAAACAUUUGAGUGAGUGGCGGACGGGUGAGUAACACGUGGGUAACCUGCCCUAAAGUGGGGGAUAACAUUUGGAAACAGAUGCUAAUACCGCAUAAAACCUAACACCGCAUGGUGUAGGGUUGAAAGAUGGUUUCGGCUAUCACUUUAGGAUGGACCCGCGGUGCAUUAGUUAGUUGGUGAGGUAAAGGCUCACCAAGACCGUGAUGCAUAGCCGACCUGAGAGGGUAAUCGGCCACACUGGGACUGAGACACGGCCCAGACUCCUACGGGAGGCAGCAGUAGGGAAUCUUCCACAAUGGACGAAAGUCUGAUGGAGCAACGCCGCGUGAGUGAAGAAGGUUUUCGGAUCGUAAAACUCUGUUGUUGGAGAAGAAUGUAUCUGAUAGUAACUGAUCAGGUAGUGACGGUAUCCAACCAGAAAGCCACGGCUAACUACGUGCCAGCAGCCGCGGUAAUACGUAGGUGGCAAGCGUUGUCCGGAUUUAUUGGGCGUAAAGCGAGCGCAGGCGGUUUCUUAAGUCUGAUGUGAAAGCCUUCGGCUCAACCGAAGAAGUGCAUCGGAAACUGGGAAACUUGAGUGCAGAAGAGGACAGUGGAACUCCAUGUGUAGCGGUGAAAUGCGUAGAUAUAUGGAAGAACACCAGUGGCGAAGGCGGCUGUCUGGUCUGUAACUGACGCUGAGGCUCGAAAGCAUG
Molecule: ribosomal RNA, 732 nt
Filed under: Latilactobacillus sakei
Lineage: Bacteria; Bacillati; Bacillota; Bacilli; Lactobacillales; Lactobacillaceae
Description: bacterial SSU rRNA
Rfam family: Bacterial small subunit ribosomal RNA
Source: RNAcentral